GCGGCGGACGGAGACAGGAGGCGGUGGGAGGGUGAAGGGUGGGGGGUAAAGUACCGAACGCUCAUUCGACGGUAGAGGCGAUUAAAACGACUGUUGCUUAUUAUUCACUGCCCUCCUGUACUUAUCACGUCAGUGUAAUGACUUAUUUUGAUAAUAGCGAGAGAGAAAAUGUAAUAGACUAUUAAACUUAUCCUGAAUUCCCUCCCUAAGACGGCGGUCGUUGUUCGUAAAGAUGAAAAACCUUUACAGUUUACUUUUCUUGUAGGCGGUGGAAAAUUGGCUACAAUGCGAAUCAAUCACUAACGACCUGAUGCCCAGUGAUUUGUUGCUGUACAGUCGUACUUACAGUAAGGCAUCUUAAUUUGGCUAAAGUCUCCUGAUAAUACCAAAUGUGGGACAAACCCUCUUUCAUUCCGCUCUUCAGGAAAGUCACAUGAUAGCAAUCCAAAAGGGAAUGUUCAACCCAAAGCAAUUACCGGGGAAACAUUGGGAAAACCUGAAAUCAGUUACAUUAGCGGCACCUGUUCUUACUUGGGGGUCUCCAGCACUCACCAAAGCCGCGGCACAGCUUAUCUACAGGAAUCUGGAGCGGGUGGAAUCCAAGAGGGAACUGGAGAUUUUUCAGGACCAAAGCGGGGCCGGAGCGCUACUUGCUGAACUCUGGUUGGAGUAUAAGGGCAGAUCAGGGCCAUAAGAAUAAAAAAUAACAAGGUCUGGGGCUGUGCGUGUGCAUGUGUUUUGCACUGGCUGCAUAGGCUGGAUGCUCUGGCUGCACUGGGCUGGCUUCUUGUGUGGUCCCCCGGCAAACUUUAUGAUUUAUUCAGCUAAAGGCAGAGGAGCACGACCCCCAGUGACCACAGAGAGAGAGCUGCACGGAUUACGGGGAAAGGAGAAGACAGACAGAAAUCUACAUUUAACUGGUUCCUGGUAAUGAACAUCUGAAGUCCUCAGUGCCCUCAACCAUUUUGUUUCAACUGGAUUCCACCAAGGCGAAACAAACCAUGCACCACAGCUAAGCUGUUUUAAAUCACUUCAAUAGGAGGAGCUCCAUCACAAAACCAAUUACAAGGAUCAAACUUGACUGAAAUCAGUCAAAAUUCAAAGCCAAAAAUCAAGAUUUUUGCUGUGAAAAAGAUGUUUCUGAUCUGGCACAGAUCAGCAUGAAGAUACUGUGGAAAAGUGAGAUAAACUGCUUUUUGACAUAUGAGGCAAAAACAAGACAAAAGCUUUUGUGUCAAACCUCUUUUCAAAUGUAGUUCCAGUAUUCAGUUCCCUUUUAGUUUUUCUACCUAGACACUAAUUUUUCCUGUCUCAUAGUAAGGAACGCAAAGGUAGCUUGCUCGCAUUUUGGAAAUGUGAGCAAUACAAUCAAAACAAUUAGCUAAAAGAGGCUAAAAAGGUGAAUGACAUAAAACAUCUGGUGAAAAUAAUGGUAUUUCUGAAAACACCUAUUAGUGCAGUUUUUCAGUUCAAUUCACUGAAUUUAUAGAGCAUCAAAUGACAGCAGCCUGAAGCCUAGAAUUUUAAGGGGGUUCAGACAGCGUACCGUAAAAAAAAUCCCAGAAACUUGUUCAGUUAGCCCUCAGCAACUCGGCAACCUUCUGAUGAUCUUCUGGCAACCGCU
Oreochromis niloticus (Nile tilapia) is the source of this 1624-nucleotide long non-coding RNA. RefSeq lists it as uncharacterized. Lineage: Eukaryota; Metazoa; Chordata; Actinopteri; Cichliformes; Cichlidae. The transcript is spliced from 7 exons. The record is from RefSeq and is a predicted model, not a curated record.